ACAUGCUACUGUAAGCCGUGCCUUGAACAAAAAAGUUUUUAAGACAAACAGAAGUUUGUGAAAGACAGACUUCACCAAAAAAAGGUAAUUUAACUAUCAGUAUUAGAACUGCAAUAGAUGAAGAUAUGAGGAUAUUUGUCAAAAAGGCAGACAACAGAUGACAUAGCAAGAAUAUUUAACAUUUCAGUGUCACAUGUACCUUGAACAAAUAGAUAAACAUUAGUGAGUGAGUGAGAGAGAGAGAGAGAGAGAGAGGAUAACUUCCUCCAUCAGAAGAAUCAGUUCUGUAUAAAGUAAGCUGCUGAGGAAAUUAACAGCUGUAACUUUCAGCACAAAGAUGUGAAAGACAUAUUUUGGGUAAAUGAUGAUGCUUGCAAGAUGUCAGUACAUCAGAUGACUUGUAUGCAAAGUGAUGAAAAGCAUUGUUAAUAUUACCCCAAACCAGUCCCAUAUCAUCUCUUAAAACAAAGGUGAUAUAUGGUAUAUUUCAAUAUUAGUCACUGCUAGACCAAUAUAUCAACAUAUUAAGAAUCUUUAAUUUUCAUAAGGUCAGGAGUCAAAUUAAUUUGUAAUGGUUGCAUUAUUGUAAACACAGGCUAGUUAAAUAUAGGAGAACCACCCAGAGGUCAUUGUUUCAGCUCUUUUCUUAUUUGGUAACAGCAGCUCAAUUAGGUAACCCAAUAGGAAAAG
RNAcentral lists this long non-coding RNA (690 nucleotides) under Vitis vinifera (wine grape). Its description in RNAcentral is "long non-coding RNA (VVIN_LNC004845)". Lineage: Eukaryota; Viridiplantae; Streptophyta; Magnoliopsida; Vitales; Vitaceae. The record is from RNAcentral.